UGCGGAAGGAUCAUUCACAAGAUUAUAUUUUAUAUUACUUUGUGGAACAUUUGGUUGAAUUUACAUGUUUUAUUACAAAAAAUUAAUUAUAAUUAAAAAAAUAAUUUUAAGAAAACCUCCAACAACGGAUCUCUUGGUUCCCAGAUCGAUGAAGAGCGCAGCGAAUUGCGAAAUGUGAUGUGUAUUGCAGUGAAUCAUCAAUUCUUGAACGCACAUGGCACCCCUUUUAGGGGUAUGCUUGUAUGAGGGUGUUUAAUAUGAAAUUGCUUUGGCUUUUUUUAAAUAAAUGGUUUUUCAAAUUGUUACUAAUAGACGAAAGAAUCAGUGCAACAAGCUGUGUUGAAUCUUUCAUUAAAUCUUUUAGUUAACUACUUUAACUAUUUGCACCUCAUAUCAAGCAAGACUACCCGCUGAACUUAAGCAUAUCAAUAAGCGGAGGAAAAAA
Molecule: ribosomal RNA, 445 nt
Filed under: Magnusiomyces capitatus
Lineage: Eukaryota; Fungi; Ascomycota; Dipodascomycetes; Dipodascales; Dipodascaceae
Description: eukaryotic LSU rRNA
Rfam family: 5.8S ribosomal RNA (bases 114-252)
Source: RNAcentral